Molecule: ribosomal RNA, 247 nt
Filed under: uncultured bacterium
Lineage: Bacteria
Description: partial 16S ribosomal RNA
Rfam family: Bacterial small subunit ribosomal RNA
Source: RNAcentral
AUACGUAGGGGGCAAGCGUUGUCCGGAAUGACUGGGCGUAAAGGGCGCGUAGGCGGCCGAUUAAGUCUGGAGUGAAAGUCCUGCUUUCAAGGUGGGAAUUGCUUUGGAAACUGGUUGGCUUGAGUGCAGAAGAGGGAAGUGGAAUUCCAUGUGUAGCGGUGAAAUGCGUAGAGAUAUGGAGGAACACCAGUGGCGAAGGCGGCUUCCUGGUCUGUAACUGACGCUGAGGCUCGAAAGCGUGGGGAGC